AUUGUGAUGAACUUUUACACAGACCUGUACUGAAUAGACUCAUGCGGAAAAAUGU
This 55-nucleotide small RNA is filed under the name Drosophila guanche. The record is from RNAcentral. Lineage: Eukaryota; Metazoa; Arthropoda; Insecta; Diptera; Drosophilidae.